UUCCAAGUAGCUUAAUGGUAAAGCACCCAACCACCAAUUGGAGGAUCUGGGUUCAAGACCCAGCUCGGGCU
Strigamia maritima is the source of this 71-nucleotide non-coding RNA. The record is from Rfam. Lineage: Eukaryota; Metazoa; Arthropoda; Chilopoda; Geophilomorpha; Linotaeniidae.